Molecule: small RNA, 3057 nt
Filed under: Rattus norvegicus (Norway rat)
Lineage: Eukaryota; Metazoa; Chordata; Mammalia; Rodentia; Muridae
Description: uncharacterized LOC102548349
Source: RNAcentral
AGAGAAGGUGACAGGUGGUUACGAACGAUUCAUAGACCCUGCAUUCCUGAGGCCAAGCUGUAGUAUCACCACAAGAUAUUAAUAAGCAAUUCUAUUUUGAGCCUCGCCAAAUGUCAAGCACCGUGCUAACUAAGCCCAUGACAUUCCUGUCCUAUUUAAUCUUCACAACCAUCUCCGUGAGGAAGAACGGGUAGCAAUCCCAUUUCACAAAUGAGAAAACCAAGGUUUCAAAAGACUAACAAUCGUGCUUGGUGUCACAAAUGGAUAGACAGGAUUUGAACUCUGGGAGCUGGUGUGAUUAGCAACCACUCUGUUGUAUCACCUCCCACUUUCUGGACAAACUGGAAAAGCUGUUAGGUGGCUGGGACAUCCAGAGACAGCUCCAUGGCCUGUCACCUCACAGGGGUGUCUAAAAGAUGGCAUCAGAACCAAAGUGACAACAAAGAAGGAGCUUAGGCCAGCUGCAAAAUACACCGAAUGUCGAGGAGGCAGACCCUCGAUGCUCCUGUCCCCUGUGCCCAAGCAUGGCUUCACUUGGAAACCAUAAGCAAGGGCCUAAAGAUACUGAGUUCACGUUCACCUCCAAAGCACAUUCGCCCCUGGGAAUUAACUCCUGGCCUUGUUCUCUUGCAAUCCUCGUUUUGAAACAUCGUUAGUUUCAUUAGCUUCCUCUUCUUCUUCCUUUUUUUUAAGAGCAAGCACAGAUGAGGUAAUGACGUAGGGGUCACAGAGGAACUAACAGAUAUUUGGAUGUCACUCCGGAGAUGAGGGAAAAGACACUUCAGCUGCUACAAAGGUAAAAAGAAUCUUGGAGCUGUGAAAACAUAGGGUUUCUCUACAGCCCCCUCAGAUAUCCAGAAUUAGCCUGGAGGCUAGACAGGUUCUAGGACCUCCCCAUGAGAAUGAAUGAAAAGACACAAAGGAUAAACAGAGCCUUACACAGCUGGUCCAGAAGGAGGCCUGUGUGUCACUGUGGAGGAAGGGAGAAGGCCAUUCCAUUCCAGCCCCACUUUCAAAACACAAAAUUCAAAGAUACAAUUCUAUGGGUGUGAUACUGCUGAAGUUUGUUCUGAGUGUAUGUACAAGUAUGUGUGUGUGUCCACACGUGUGUGCACAUGUGUGCAUACACGUGCACCACGCUCAGGUAUGGGGCCUGACCAUGGGCAGACAUGUAGAGGUCAGAGGAGGAUUUGGACUAUCCUCCGUAGCACUCCACCUUGUUUCUCUAAGGCAGGGUAUCUCCCUGCCCCCGGAACUCACGGUGUUUUAGCUUGGCUGAUCAGUAGCCAGUCCUGCCCAUCCUUCUGUCUCCACUCCUACCAGCACUAACUAGGGUUUCAAGUACAGGUGAGAUCACGCCUGGCUUUUUCCUCGGGAGCUGGGGAUUUGAACGCAGGUUCACACGUACAUAUCAAGCAAACGCUCUUCCUGAGUCAUCCCUUGUCCCUUCCCCACCAUGCUGCUUUUACAAUCAGUUAAAGAUCUCUCAACUUUAAAAAGAAAAAAAGAAAAAAACAAAACAAAACAAAAAACAAAAACAAAAAAAAAAAAACCAACAACAGUAGGCUCCAGAAAGAAACCAGCCGCAGCCUGAGUUUCACAUCCCUAAGUUACCAGGCAGAGUAGGCCGAGAAAAGAAGCCUGGAAAAGACCACAAUGUUUCUCAAGUCUCUGAAAGGUGUGUGUCUGGGAGACGGGGGACCCUGCAAGUGUCUGUGGCCCAUUUUUUGAGCUAUUCCGAGACGGCUGAUAUGGAGUGUUAUUCCUGGCAGUCAAACACCACUAAAUUGCUGCACCACGCUGAGUCAGGGUGAGAGGAGGAGGGAGAAGGGCGUGUGGCUGCAAGGCUCAUCCCAGAGAAAGGAGCCAACGAGACUGGGAGAGGGGGAGAUAGGAGGCACUUGCCUACCUAAGUCACAGAGUGCACAAGGCAGGUCCGCACACCCUGCCCCUGGCCUGGGUUCCUUCUGAGGAGCUCUGCAUCACCCCUUAAAUCCCCAGGGCUAUCAGCCUACAGCUACUGAGCAUCCAAGACUUCUGUGGUAUCGCCACAGCCAUUCUUCAGUAAAAAAUAAAUCUGCCACAGCUCUGAAGGCCAGGACUGAACACACAGCUGUAGGCCUGGGCCCUGGGCCAGCCCCACAGGAGGAGAUAAUGUCUGGAACCUAGCCCUGAAUGUCCCUUCCGUGUAUCCUCCCCGGCACUAUUCAGCCAACUCAGGGCCGGCUGACACCAAGCCUGGGAAGACUAAGCCCCUCCUUUCUUGGGCCUUUGUGCCUACAGACAGACCAUAGACACUUUGCAAGAUGGAUGAGCCUGGGACAGGAAACCGGCUCCCUUGAAUAGACAAGCAGACCACUCUACACAGCCAAGAGCAGCCACUCAGAAGGGUGUUCUGGGAAGACGAGGUCUACAUGGGUUGGGAAAUAACAAGGUCCCCAGGAAGAUUCCGGCCCAAAGUGGUUUAUCCAGAUCGGUAUGAACACGCAGUGGUGCACUGGCCACAGCGCAGAGCCUCGACAGAGAGACCAACAAGCAUGUAGUGUGAGUUCCCCUGUCCAAUGCAUCUGCAUAUGUGCAGCCCCCAAGUGCAACCCAUGCAGCAGAGGGAGGGUCCAGGGAAGGGGGAGGGGAGCUCUUCCUGCCACUCUCACUUCCGCAGGGGUCAAAGGUGGUGAAACAUUUCUUCAGACGAAGAUCUAUCAUUGUCCUUCCAGUCCACAGUUCAACGGCACUAAAAGGCCACAGGACUGGUAGACAAGUCAAGCGGGAGCAAAGCAAGACAGAAGCAGUUAUCAACAGAACGGGAAGGCCGAGGAGAUGCUCAAUCCAUUGACAACAAGAAAACUCAAGACUUAUAAGGAACAGUGUUGGAAAGGUGACUCAGCUCAUCAGUCCCCACAUAGCAGCUCCUAACUGUCCAUGGCUGCAGUCCUGGGGCAUCUGACACCCUCUUUCUGGCUUCACAGGCACCAGCACACAAGAGGUAUACAGACAGACAGACAAGACACACAUACAUACAAAAUAAUAAAAACAUAAAUCAAUACAUCCCAAAAA